UACGUAGGGUGCGAGCGUUAAUCGGAAUUACUGGGCGUAAAGCGCACGUAGGCGGUUUUUUAAGUCAGAUGUGAAAGCCCCGGGCUCAACCUGGGAAUUGCACUUGAAACUGGGAAACUAGAGUGUGUGAGAGGGGGGUAGAAUUCCAAGUGUAGCGGUGAAAUGCGUAGAGAUUUGGAGGAAUACCAGUGGCGAAGGCGGCCCCCUGGCACAACACUGACGCUCAGGUGCGAAAGCGUGGGGAGCAAACAGG
This 253-nucleotide ribosomal RNA is filed under the name uncultured bacterium. Its description in RNAcentral is "partial 16S ribosomal RNA". It matches the Rfam family "Bacterial small subunit ribosomal RNA", at positions 524 to 776 of the family's 1533-position model. The record is from RNAcentral.